Non-coding RNA from Micropterus salmoides (largemouth bass), 831 nucleotides. The record is from the annotation of a RefSeq genome assembly. Lineage: Eukaryota; Metazoa; Chordata; Actinopteri; Centrarchiformes; Centrarchidae.
CAAUUUAUAUCCAAAAGACAAAACUAUUAAAGUGUAAACAACAUAAAAUCAUGAUGUUCAAAUAUUUAUUGCCAUUUUAUGAACAAAAACAGAAUUAAGAGGCAUUAGCAGAUUUAGAAUGAGACCCAGCUGUGAUGAAGAGCUUCAGAAAUGAAACUACUGUGAAAUAUGAGUCUCCUCCUACUGACUGCAGAGCUGCUUCAUGGCAGAGAACUCUUUGAUUCCAGCUGUGAACAUCAGACCAAACACAACUGACAGAACGUGUUCAUACUGAACAUUCAGUUCCAGCAUUUCUCCUCUGUCAACAUGGAGAAACUCGCUGCACUUUUGUUCUUUUCAGCUCUCGUAGGUAACACCUUGGAAGAUGAUAUUACUGCCAGCAGAGCUGAAGUGUUCUCAUCAGAGGGCCGUAGUGUUACUCUGUCCUGUAGCUAUUCAGUUAAAGCCGAUAAUCUCCAGUGGUAUCGACAGGAUCCUGGAUCAGCUCCUCAGUUCCUUCUCCUGAUCACUGAUGCAAAAGAGCCUUCAGUGGUGGAAGCAAAACCUCCACACCCUCAACUGACCGCUAACCUGAAUGAGGAGAGGAAUCGAGUCGAUCUGCAGAUCUCCUCUGCUGCAGUGACAGACUCUGCUGUGUACUACUGUACUCUGGGACCUGGAUUUCAUCUAAAAGAGGACUCUGGACCACUGAGCCACGGUCCAGUUCUUUUUCUCCUUAGCCCAGGUAAGACUCUUCUGACUCUGUCUCUGGUUCAGGAGUGGCCUGACACUGGCAAUGCGACACAUGAAGCUCAUUUCCUGGACCCGUCUGUGCCUGGUGGAUCUCGAUGA